AUAUUUGUAGUGUAAUAGACACCUUGCUUUUUCACGGCAAAAAUGUAAACCCUUAUUUACCAAAUAU
This 67-nucleotide transfer RNA is filed under the name Sipunculus nudus (marine worm). Its description in RNAcentral is "tRNA-Glu". The record is from RNAcentral. Lineage: Eukaryota; Metazoa; Annelida; Sipuncula; Golfingiida; Sipunculidae.